This 305-nucleotide ribosomal RNA is filed under the name uncultured bacterium. Its description in RNAcentral is "bacterial SSU rRNA". It matches the Rfam family "Bacterial small subunit ribosomal RNA", at positions 338 to 641 of the family's 1533-position model. The record is from RNAcentral.
CCUACGGGGGGCAGCAGUGAGGAAUAUUGGUCAAUGGACGAGAGUCUGAACCAGCCAAGUAGCGUGAAGGAUGACUGCCCUAUGGGUUGUAAACUUCUUUUAUAUGGGAAUAAAACAGGGUAUGCAUACCCUCUUGUAUGUACCAUAUGAAUAAGGAUCGGCUAACUCCGUGCCAGCAGCCGCGGUAAUACGGAGGAUGCGAGCGUUAUCCGGAUUUAUUGGGUUUAAAGGGUGCGUAGGCGGUCCGUUAAGUCAGCGGUAAAAUUGCGGGGCUCAACCCCGUCGAGCCGUUGAAACUGGCAGAC